This is a non-coding RNA of Cajanus cajan (pigeon pea), 2589 nucleotides long. Lineage: Eukaryota; Viridiplantae; Streptophyta; Magnoliopsida; Fabales; Fabaceae. The record is from RefSeq and is a predicted model, not a curated record.
GUAAGUAGCAAAUGGGCCCAAGAAAAUGCUAAGAACAAGAAGAUCCAUUUUUGGGUCACCCAUUUGGGUCCGAAUGUUGACAAAGCCAGAGCACUGAAGCAGAACAACCAACAAGGAGAAGAAGAUGGAUGCGAAAGAUUGGAACCUUCUGGAUGAAGCGUUAGGGCUUCACAACAACAACGCGAAGCCAUGGCCUCUGUGUGGUCGCUUCGUGCUUGUUGAGGACUGUGUCGACACAAGCGCCGCUUUCGUUCUUCAUCACAUUCUCAAGCGCUCCUUCUCUUCUCACCCUUCUUCAGCCCUUCUCUUCAUCGCCUUCUCUCACCCCUUUUCCCACUACGAUCGCGUCCUCCGAAAACUUGGUUGUAACUUAGCUGCUCAAAGAGAUAAUGGCAGAUUCCUUUUCCUUGACAUGCUUAUGUUGCAGUGUCCAGAUGAAGGGAAACCCAAUCAUGAUGGGCUUGCUUCUAUAUUUGAGAAAAUUGAAAGAGUGAUUGCUGCGUUACAUCAAGACAAGAAAUUCAUCUCUAUCAUAAUAGAUGAUAUAUCUUUUCUUGAAAUUGCUGCUAACGGCUCUUCAAAUGAUGUUUUGAACUUGCUGCAUUAUUGCCACACGUUAACUUCAGAAUAUGGUUGUGCAUUUAUUGCACUUGACCAUAAGGACAUUUAUUUGAAUGGAGACAAGGCUGCUGUUAUCUUAGAGAUGGAGUACGUUGCUGACAUUUUGGUCAAGGCUGAACCAUUGUCCACUGGUUUGGCAAAAGAUGUGCAUGGACAGUUGAUGGUGUUAGAUAAGGAAACACAACAUCAACAUGGAAUUUCGGCCAUUAAGACUCACAAUUUUCACUUCAAGAUCAAGGAAAAUGGCAUUGAGUGCUUUUAUCCUGGCACAAAAAUCUAAUGCUGAUCAAUAAUGCUUGUUGUACAACUGUAAUCUUGGAAGAAUCAGCAGUCUGUUGAUCUCCUAGUAACAACGUGCAAGGAUAGUUCAGAGAAUGCUGGAAGUGGUUCAGUGUCUCUUCCAGCAUCAGGUAUCAAGAACAAACCAGUUUCAGAGUCCAGUAAGGUGAAAACUUCAUCAAAGGGGAAAAAGAAACGAAAAGAGAUUCUUCAGAAGGUUGAUGCUGCUGGGUCAACAUCUAAUCUUUAUAAUGCAUACAAGGGACCUGAGGAAAAGAAAGAAACUGCUGUAAGUUUAGAGAAAACAGAACUUGAUGGAAAAGAAAGUGCUUCUACUUCUGGAAAUUUAGAGCAGAUGCCACUGAUGCGGCUGAGCCAGAUGCUGGAGCAGGUGAGAAAAAUAAGCAGAGUAAAGCUGAACUUGUUGAUUGGGAGGAUGCUGCUGACAUGUCUACUCCAAAGUCCAAAACUAAAACCUAACAGGAUACUGAUGGAAGUGCAGUUACUGCCAAAAAAGUAUUCUUGAGAUUUCUUUUUGAAAUUUGCAGAGCAAUGUACUGAUCUUCCUGAAGGGUUUGAAAUCACGGCAGACAUAGCUGAGGUUUUGAUGAGUGCUAAUGUUAAUUCUCAUGUAAUUGAAUGUGAUGUGAUUCACAUUCUUCUACUGGAAGAAGACAUAUGAUGGGUAUUAUUAGAUUGAUUGGAGAACUAUAUACGAAGAAAAUGUUGGCAGAGAGGAUUAUGCAUGAAUGCAUCAAGAAAUUACCAGGUUAGUAUCAAGAUCUGGAUGAAGAAUAUAUUGAAGCUUUGUGCAAGCUGAUGAUUACUGUUGGGGAGAUGAUUGACCAUCCCAAAGCAAAGGAACAUAUGGAUGCAUAUUUUGAAAUGAUGAGAUCAUUAUCAGUCAGCACAAACUUAUCUUCUAGGGUGAGGUUGAUGUUGAAGGAUGUCAUUGAUUUGAGGAAGAAUAAUUGGCAACAAAGAAGAAAAGUUGAAGGCCUAAAGAAGAUUGAGGAGGUGCACAGAGAUGCUUCUCAAGAGCGGAUGAUUCAUGUUAUCUCCUAGUUCUCAGAUGGGUGGACUGCAUGGAUUGCCUACUCAAGUUCAAGGGUCUGGUUCUCAUGAUGUUCACAUGGAUGAAAGGCAAACUUAUGAGGCCAGGACAUUGUCAGUUCCCUUGCCUCAAAGACCUUCAGGUGACGAGUCAAUCACCUUGGUAUUUAUGGGUGGUCCUUCUAGAGGCAUGUCCAGUAGAGGUCCACCUGCAGUUUCAAGUUUGACUGGUCUUAAUGGUUAUAAUAAUUUGCCAGAGAGCAUUUCAUACAGCUCUAGGGAGGACCCUGCAUGGAGAUAUACACCAGAUAGAUUUUCCAGUUCAACUGCUUACGAUCAAUCUAGUGUUCAAGAUCGGAAAAUAAAUUAUGGCAGCAGGGACUUCAGAAAUUCAAAUAGGGUUCUUGAUAAACCAGUUGUAACUUCACCACCUGCCAGAAUGCAAGUGCUAGAGAUUUGAACGAAGUUGUUAUAUGCAUCAAAGAUCCGAACUCUCCAAGCUUUCAUCUUUCCAUGGUUUCUCUGAGUGAUGGACUCAUUUGAGAGAAAGGACACAGAGAGUUCUUUUGUCCCAGCUGCUUAUUUACCUUGUGAAAUCUGAGGAUGGACCCUUGGGUCAAGCCCAGCUUAAUAAAG